CGGAUUUGCACCUUCAAUUCUCGGAGCCAACGAUGGUUGUAUCCCCUUGGACGGUGCAGCAGUUCUGGUCGAUCCUCCAGUUAUCGAUGUUGGAGAGCCUGCUCAGUGAACAAACAGAAUGUUUAAAGCGUGGUCCUAAGGAAAACCCGAUACUUUGGGAUUGUGUUACCGGUGCAUGGUGACACUAAAUUUCUACGGAAGUUCUUUUGAAGUGCGAGACCACGUUUGACGCCUGAUUGGACCAUAGUGGAUUAUAUACUGGUUUACAUUCACACACGGAAUGUAAAGUAGAUAGCACUGUUAUUUAGAUAUAUUCAGAAAACUCGACAAAUGUAAAGCCCAUGCCAAACAUCAAUAUGUGAUUGUGAACACAUAAUUGUGCACUAUGGUUCAAUAAUAAAGUCUAUGUUAAACAG
RNAcentral lists this long non-coding RNA (416 nucleotides) under Haliotis rufescens (red abalone). RNAcentral describes it as "uncharacterized LOC125374639". The record is from RNAcentral. Lineage: Eukaryota; Metazoa; Mollusca; Gastropoda; Lepetellida; Haliotidae.